AGCCAGGUCGGUUUCUAUCCUCAAAAUUUUUAUAGUUUCUAGUACGAAAGGGCCGUUAUUAUGGAAAAUUUUCUUAUUUUUGAAUAUUAUUAA
This 93-nucleotide ribosomal RNA is filed under the name Mecistogaster ornata. Its description in RNAcentral is "partial 16S ribosomal RNA". The record is from RNAcentral. Lineage: Eukaryota; Metazoa; Arthropoda; Insecta; Odonata; Coenagrionidae.